This 515-nucleotide ribosomal RNA is filed under the name uncultured bacterium. Its description in RNAcentral is "bacterial SSU rRNA". It matches the Rfam family "Bacterial small subunit ribosomal RNA", at positions 15 to 518 of the family's 1533-position model. The record is from RNAcentral.
GAUCAUGGCUCAGGAUGAACGCUAGCUACAGGCUUAACACAUGCAAGUCGAGGGGCAGCAGAUCGAUAGCUUGCUAUUGAUGCUGGCGACCGGCGCACGGGUGAGUAACGCGUAUCCAACCUUCCCUAUAGUAGAGGAUAGCCCGGCGAAAGUCGGAUUAAUACUCUAUGUUUUCCAAUGCAGACAUCUAAGUUGGAACAAAGGUUUACCGCUAUAGGAUGGGGAUGCGUCUGAUUAGGUUGUUGGCGGGGUAACGGCCCACCAAGCCUACGAUCAGUAGGGGUUCUGAGAGGAAGGUCCCCCACAUUGGAACUGAGACACGGUCCAAACUCCUACGGGAGGCAGCAGUGAGGAAUAUUGGUCAAUGGGCGAGAGCCUGAACCAGCCAAAGUAGCGUGCAGGAUGACGGCCCUAUGGGUUGUAAACUGCUUUUAUACGGGGAUAAAGUGAGGGACGUGUCCCUUUUUGUAGGUACCGUAUGAAUAAGGACCGGCUAAUUCCGUGCCAGCCGCAGC